This is a long non-coding RNA of Daphnia magna, 1382 nucleotides long. RefSeq lists it as uncharacterized. The transcript has 5 exons. Lineage: Eukaryota; Metazoa; Arthropoda; Branchiopoda; Diplostraca; Daphniidae. The record is from RefSeq and is a predicted model, not a curated record.
UUAAGUAAAUCAGUGUAAAGUUUCUUCAAAUAUUUUCUUAUGUGCUCUGUUUAAUAUGUGCUCUGUGUUUAUAAGUGAAGGAAAAUGAUUUCAAUACGUAACAUGUUGAAUACGUUUUCUUUUUGUGUUUCAUUCAAAAGGCCAUUUUUACGACAAGAACAUCUUCUUGUAUCGCAAUUUCCAUUGCAGAUAUUUAAUCAUUUCCAAGAGGUCAUUUGGUGCAGCCUGUAAAUCAGUGGUAACAGGGUAGAGAAUUCCUUCAGAUAACAUCCAUCCCCACUCAACUUCUUUAGAAUGGUUUGCACCAAGCCAAGUAAUUUACUUGCAAAUAUGUCCUUCUACUAUGAAAUUUCAUAGCAGCUGAUGUCGGAGGAAGAGAUUUAGGAUUCACAGAUGUAGUCAAGGAGGCAGUGAGAACUUUUGCUUUAAAAUUUUGAUAUCGCAGGUUAUCUAAAUUAUCAGUAGGUAGUCCAGAGUAUACAAUAAUCAUUGCCCUUUCUCCAGCCACAUCAAUCUCAUUUUGGGAACAAUUACUCUUGUAGAACAACUGAGCCAAUGACUUGAAAACAUCAUUAGUACUUGAGAGUUUCAGUGUAACAUUUUUACCCUUUCCAAAAGGCUUAGACGUGGUGUCACAUCCGAGAAAAGCAUGCACAAAAAGUAUCACAUUACAUAUGUAAAUUUUCUUCAAUCAACGAUUGUAAUAGUGUAGCAGUAACACUAGGAGAUAUGUGUCUUCUCCUACUAGAACCGUUUGGUGUGUUUUCGCGCAUUCAAUUGCUGUUUUAACUAUCAUUACACCAGCAUCACCCUGACUGUGUAAUACGAUAGAAAUUCCUCCUUGGAUGUCAUGAUCUUCACAUCAUUUGAAAAGAUAACUUGACUACUAACAGUCUUGGCGCGCUUCAAAUGUGAAACAUCUUUAGUGGACGGUCCAUUAUAUCCAUCAAAGACAAUAACUGGGGAGUUUUUUCAAUAUUUAUUUGACACGUAUUGGUAAUAGUGCUCAUAUAUACUUAAAUAACUUUCUUCUUUCUUCCAUGGGAUUUUAUGAAGAAGCCAGCCGCCAUCAAGAACUACUUUUCUUUCAUCUUCAUUUGAUAUUUCUUCCUUUGAUGGGUCAUACUUAGUCAUCUCAGCUAUUGAUUUUGCCAACUCCGAUUUCUUGGCGUCCCUCAGGUUCCAGUUUGAAGAGAAAAGAGAUACAGGAAAUGAACUAAGUUCAUAUUUGAAGUAAGAAGGAAAUGAAUGUUCUUCUUUUUUCGAUGUUAAAACAACGACCAUUCUUUGAAAUAAAACAUUUUGGUCUAUGUUUCCCAUUUUCUUUUUCGAUCCUGGAUGUUCCUUCUCUGUCAUUAAAACACAUUGUUCUCUUCGACGUG